This 442-nucleotide ribosomal RNA is filed under the name uncultured bacterium. RNAcentral's name for it is "bacterial SSU rRNA". It matches the Rfam family "Bacterial small subunit ribosomal RNA", at positions 28 to 507 of the family's 1533-position model. The record is from RNAcentral.
GAUGAACGCUAGCGGCAGGCCUAAUACAUGCAAGACUAGGGGGCAGCAAUGUCACCGUCGCACGGGUGCGUAACGCGUAUGCAACCUACCUAUCACAGGGGGAUAGCCUUUGGAAACAGGGAUUAAUACCGCAUAAAGCAGGGGCUCCGCAUGGAGAUAUUGCUAAAGAUUUAUCGGUGAUAGAUGGGCAUGCGUCUGAUUAGUUAGAUGGUGGGGUAACGGCCUACCAUGGCGAUGAUCAGUAGGGGGCGUCAGAGCGUGGUCCCCCACACUGGCACUGAGAUACGGGCCAGACUCCUACGGGAGGCAGCAGUAGGGAAUAUUGGACAAUGGGCGAAAGCCUGAUCCAGCAAUGCCGCGUGAGUGACGAAGGCCUUAGGGUUGUAAAGCUCUUUUACCCGAGAUGAAGGUACCAAAUGAAUAAGCACCGGCUAACNCCGUG